GUAUGGUGCUGGGUGCAGAUGCAGUGUGGCUCUGGAUAGCACCUUAUGGACAGUUGUGUCCCCAAGGAAGGAUGAGAAUAGCUACUGAAGUCCUAAAGAGCAAGCCUAACUCAAGCCAUUGGCACACAGGCAUUAGACAGAAAGCUGGAAGUUGAAAUGGUGGAGUCCAACUUGCCUGGACCAGCUUAAUGGUUCUGCUCCUGGUAACGUUUUUAUCCAUGGAUGACUUGCUUGGGUAUGGAGAGUCGGCUUGACUACACUGUGUGGAGCAAGUUUUAAAGAAGCAAAGGACUCAGAAUUCAUGAUUGAAGAAAUGCAGGCAGACCUGUUAUCCUAAACUAGGGUUUUUAAUGACCACAACAAGCAAGCAUGCAGCUUACUGCUUGAAAGGUGAGGAUUGGAAAUGUUGGGACUAUUAUAAUUGCAGAAUACAUGAUGAUCUCAAUCCAACUUGAACUCUCUCACUGAUUACUUGAUGACAAUAAAAUAUCUGAUAUUCUGCAUUCCCAUGUAGCAUUUUAAUUGAAGUCUGUAAAUGUGGCUAAAAGUCUUGUCUUAUUUUUUGAGACAGGGUCUUGCCUCACCCAAGCUAGAGUGCAGUGGCCUUUGAAGCUUACUACAGCCUCAAACUUCUGGGCUCAAGUGAUCCUCAGCCUCCCAGUGGUCUUUGUAGACUGCCUGAUGGAGUCUCAUGGCACAAGAAGAUUAAAACAGUGUCUCCAAUUUUAAUAAAUUUUUGCAAUCC
RNAcentral lists this long non-coding RNA (745 nucleotides) under Homo sapiens (human). Its description in RNAcentral is "non-protein coding GAS5:34". The stretch from base 425 to 501 matches the Rfam family "Small nucleolar RNA SNORD81". Lineage: Eukaryota; Metazoa; Chordata; Mammalia; Primates; Hominidae. The record is from RNAcentral.